AUAGUACUCCCUCCGUCAGAAAAUACUUGUCAUCAAAUUGAACAAAAAAGGGAUGUAUCUAGAACUAAAAUACAUCUAGAUACAUUCCCUUUUAUUUAUUUUGAUGACAAGUAUUUCCGGACGGAGGGAGUACUAC
This is a non-coding RNA of Triticum aestivum (bread wheat), 136 nucleotides long. The record is from Rfam. Lineage: Eukaryota; Viridiplantae; Streptophyta; Magnoliopsida; Poales; Poaceae.